GAUGAAGAACGGAGCGAAAUGCGAUACGUAAUGUGAAUUGCAAAUUCAGUGAAUCAUCGAGUCUUUGAACGCACAUUGCGCCCCCUGGUAUUCCGGGGGGCAUGCCUGUCCGAGCGUCAUUGCUGCCCUCAAGCACGGCUUGUGUGUUGGGCCCCGUCCUCCGAUCCCGGGGGACGGGCCCGAAAGGCAGCGGCGGCACCGCGUCCGGUCCUCGAGCGUAUGGGGCUUUGUCACCCGCUCUGUAGGCCCGGCCGGCGCUUGCCGAUCAACCCAAAUUUUUAUCCAGGUUGACCUCGGAUCAGGCAGGGAUACCCGCUGAACUUAAGCAUAUCAAUAAGCGGAGGA
Molecule: unclassified non-coding RNA, 345 nt
Filed under: soil metagenome
Description: partial contains 5.8S ribosomal RNA, internal transcribed spacer 2, and large subunit ribosomal RNA
Rfam family: 5.8S ribosomal RNA (bases 1-119)
Source: RNAcentral